GAUGAACGCUGGCGGCGUGCCUAAUACAUGCAAGUCGAGCGAACAGACGAGAGUGCUUGCACUCUCUGACGUUAGCGGCGGACGGGUGAGUAACACGUGGGUAACCUACCUAUAAGACUGGGAUAACUUCGGGAAACCGGAGCUAAUACCGGAUAAUAUUUAGCUUCGCAUGAAGCAAUAGUGAAAGACGGUUCUGCUGUCACUUAUAGAUGGACCCGCGGUGUAUUAGCUAGUUGGUGAGGUAACGGCUCACCAAGGCAACGAUACAUAGCCGACCUGAGAGGGUGAUCGGCCACACGGGGACUGAGACACGGCCCAGACUCCUACGGGAGGCAGCAGUAGGGAAUCUUCCGCAAUGGACGAAAGUCUGACGGAGCAAUGCCGCGUGAGUGAAGAAGGUUUUCGGAUCGUAAAACUCUGUUGUAAGGGAAGAACAAGUACGUUAGUAACUGAACGUACCUUGACGGUACCUUACCAGAAAGCCACGGCUAACUACGUG
Molecule: ribosomal RNA, 499 nt
Filed under: uncultured bacterium
Lineage: Bacteria
Description: partial 16S ribosomal RNA
Rfam family: Bacterial small subunit ribosomal RNA
Source: RNAcentral